Molecule: transfer RNA, 72 nt
Filed under: Loxodonta africana (African savanna elephant)
Lineage: Eukaryota; Metazoa; Chordata; Mammalia; Proboscidea; Elephantidae
Rfam family: tRNA
About the family: Transfer RNA (tRNA) molecules are approximately 80 nucleotides in length. Their secondary structure includes four short double-helical elements and three loops (D, anti-codon, and T loops).
Source: Rfam by way of RNAcentral
ACCCUGGUGGCGCAAAGGUUAAGCGUUCGGCUGCUAACCGAAAGAUCGGCAGUUCGAAUCCACCCAAGGGCU